UUUCAUUCUAGUUUGCCAAAAAACAGAAGUCAGCUUUUUCCCCAGGGAGAGUUGACAGACACAGAAUUUCAACACAGAGAUACGAUAGAGCUGAAGACAAACACACACGUACACUGAAGCCACCGCUCUGCACUGAAGUCACGGCAAGGAGGUGGGGAACAAAGUGCACUGCAGUUUCAAGAGGAAAAAUAGCUGGCAUAUUCAAUAAAUAUUUACAACCUUCUGUGACCCAAACAAGCCUCGCCUGGAUGGAAGAUUCUGAGAGAAGCAAUACAGAUUCCUGCACAGGAAAACUCAGGAGUAGAGGAAGCACUGUCCCUGCACACCUCUGGAACACGCACCCUGAAUUCACACCAAUUCCAGGAUGCCCUCACAGCCACUCUGAGCUUUUAGUAUGAAGCAUGAAGCCAGAGCCGCAACCUGGAGAAGUACUGACCUCUUUUUGGGACUGGUUGGUCAGAAGUUAGUUGACACAAACAUCUGUUUAUGAUGAAUAAAU
Molecule: long non-coding RNA, 499 nt
Organism: Gallus gallus (chicken)
Lineage: Eukaryota; Metazoa; Chordata; Aves; Galliformes; Phasianidae
Source: Ensembl